RNAcentral lists this ribosomal RNA (426 nucleotides) under uncultured bacterium. RNAcentral describes it as "bacterial SSU rRNA". It matches the Rfam family "Bacterial small subunit ribosomal RNA", at positions 354 to 796 of the family's 1533-position model. The record is from RNAcentral.
GCAAGGAAUAUUGGGCAAUGGGCGAAAGCCUGACCCAGCGACGCCGCGUGGGGGAUGACGGCCUUCGGGUUGUAAACCCCUUUUCUCAGGGAAGAAUAAUGACGGUACCUGAGGAAUAAGUCUCGGCUAACUACGUGCCAGCAGCCGCGGUAAUACGUAGGAGGCUAGCGUUAUCCGGAUUUACUGGGCGUAAAGAGGGUGUAGGCGGCUCUUCAAGUCGGACGUGAAAUCUCCCGGCUUAACUGGGAGGGGUCGUUCGAUACUGUUGGGCUAGAGGGCAGCAGAGGAAGGUGGAAUUCCCGGUGUAGUGGUGAAAUGCGUAGAUAUCGGGAGGAACACCAGUGGCGAAGGCGACCUUCUGGGCUGUUUCUGACGCUGAGGCCCGAAAGCGUGGGGAGCGAACAGGAUUAGAUACCCGAGUAGUCC